This 253-nucleotide ribosomal RNA is filed under the name uncultured bacterium. Its description in RNAcentral is "partial 16S ribosomal RNA". It matches the Rfam family "Bacterial small subunit ribosomal RNA", at positions 524 to 776 of the family's 1533-position model. The record is from RNAcentral.
UACGUAGGGGGCAAGCGUUAUCCGGAUUUACUGGGUGUAAAGGGAGCGUAGACGGUAAUGUAAGUCUGAUGUGAAAGCCCGGGGCUCAACCCCGGGACUGCAUUGGAAACUAUGUAACUAGAGUACCGGAGAGGUAAGCGGAAUUCCUAGUGUAGCGGUGAAAUGCGUAGAUAUUAGGAGGAACACCAGUGGCGAAGGCGGCUUACUGGACGGAAACUGACGUUGAGGCUCGAAAGCGUGGGGAGCAAACAGG